Molecule: ribosomal RNA, 441 nt
Filed under: uncultured bacterium
Lineage: Bacteria
Description: partial 16S ribosomal RNA
Rfam family: Bacterial small subunit ribosomal RNA
Source: RNAcentral
CCUACGGGAGGCAGCAGUCGGGAAUAUUGCGCAAUGGAGGAAACUCUGACGCAGAGACGCCGCGUGCAGGAAGAAGGUUUUCGGAUUGUAAACUGCUUUAGACAGGGAAGAAAAAAGGAAGUACCUGUAGCAUAAGCCCCGGCUAAAUACGUGCCAGCAGCCGCGGUAAUACGUAGGGAGCAAGCGUUGUCCGGAUUUAUUGGGUGGAAAGGGUGCGGAGAGGGAGAAGCAAGUUAGUUGUGCAAUCCCUCGGCUUAACUGAGGAACUGCAACUAAAACUACUUCCCUUGAGUACUGGAGAGGAAAGUGGAAUUCCUAGUGUAGCGGUGAAAUACGGAGAGAUUAGGAGGAACACCAGUGGCGAAGGCGACUUACUGGACAGUAACUGACGUUGAGGCGCGAAAGCGUGGGGAGCAAACAGGAUUAGAUACCCUUGUAGUC